This is a long non-coding RNA of Pundamilia nyererei, 406 nucleotides long. RefSeq lists it as uncharacterized. The record is from RefSeq and is a predicted model, not a curated record. NCBI's taxonomy places the organism in Eukaryota, Metazoa, Chordata, Actinopteri, Cichliformes, Cichlidae. The transcript is spliced from 4 exons.
AGAGUCUCCAUCCAGCUGGAUCACUGUCACAGGGAAACCUACAACCACAUCUCCAUCUACUCCCGCACCUGUAUCUACAUCCACCUCUAUCCCUACAUCAGCUACUCGCCCUGGUUCUUCUGUUCUUCUUCAUGUGUUAAUCUCUGUUGGAUCAGUCUGUGUUUUCGUGCUACUGGUGUUACUGGUUCUGCUGGUGAGACAAUGUAAUCACAGAAAACCUGAAGCAGAUCAAGGCAAAGCUGCACGAGAUGAUGUCACAUACAGUGACGUCAAAAUAUCACAUCGCAGACAGCAACCUGUGAAACACAGCAGAGACACUGAUCCAGCUGCAGUUUACUCAGCAGUGAGAACUGAAGACGUCACUUAUGGAAAAAUCAUCACAGACAAGAACAAACGAUCACAGACG